This 69-nucleotide transfer RNA is filed under the name Felis catus (domestic cat). It matches the Rfam family "tRNA". Rfam says of the family: Transfer RNA (tRNA) molecules are approximately 80 nucleotides in length. Their secondary structure includes four short double-helical elements and three loops (D, anti-codon, and T loops). The record is from Rfam by way of RNAcentral. Lineage: Eukaryota; Metazoa; Chordata; Mammalia; Carnivora; Felidae. RNAcentral also lists the same sequence under 2 other names.
ACCUGGCUGGCUCAGUAGAGCACGUGACCCUUGAUCUCAGGGUCAUGAGUUCAAACCCCAUGUUGGGUG